CUGAGGCGUGAUGACGAGGCACUACGGUGCUGAAGCAACAAAUGCCCUGCUUCCAGGAAAAGCCUCUAAGCAUCAGGUAACAUCAAAUCGUACCCCAAACCGACACAGGUGGUCAGGUAGAGAAUACCAAGGCGCUUGAGAGAACUCGGGUGAAGGAACUAGGCAAAAUGGUGCCGUAACUUCGGGAGAAGGCACGCUGACACGUAGGUGAAGUGAUUUACUCAUGGAGCUGAAGUCAGUCGAAGAUACCAGCUGGCUGCAACUGUUUAUUAAAAACACAGCACUGUGCAAACACGAAAGUGGACGUAUACGGUGUGACGCCUGCCCGGUGCCGGAAGGUUAAUUGAUGGGGUCAGCGCAAGCGAAGCUCCUGAUCGAAGCCCCGGUAAACGGCGGCCGUAACUAUAACGGUCCUAAGGUAGCGAAAUUCCUUGUCGGGUAAGUUCCGACCUGCACGAAUGGCGUAAUGAUGGCCAGGCUGUCUCCACCCGAGACUCAGUGAAAUUGAACUCGCUGUGAAGAUGCAGUGUACCCGCGGCAAGACGGAAAGACCCCGUGAACCUUUACUAUAGCUUGACACUGAACAUUGAGCCUUGAUGUGUAGGAUAGGUGGGAGGCUUUGAAGCGUGGACGCCAGUCUGCGUGGAGCCGACCUUGAAAUACCACCCUUUAAUGUUUGAUGUUCUAACGUGGACCCGUAAUCCGGGUUGCGGACAGUGUCUGGUGGGUAGUUUGACUGGGGCGGUCUCCUCCUAAAGAGUAACGGAGGAGCACGAAGGUUGGCUAAUCCUGGUCGGACAUCAGGAGGUUAGUGCAAUGGCAUAAGCCAGCUUGACUGCGAGCGUGACGGCGCGAGCAGGUGCGAAAGCAGGUCAUAGUGAUCCGGUGGUUCUGAAUGGAAGGGCCAUCGCUCAACGGAUAAAAGGUACUCCGGGGAUAACAGGCUGAUACCGCCCAAGAGUUCAUAUCGACGGCGGUGUUUGGCACCUCGAUGUCGGCUCAUCACAUCCUGGGGCUGAAGUAGGUCCCAAGGGUAUGGCUGUUCGCCAUUUAAAGUGGUACGCGAGCUGGGUUUAGAACGUCGUGAGACAGUUCGGUCCCUAUCUGCCGUGGGCGCUGGAGAACUGAGGGGGGCUGCUCCUAGUACGAGAGGACCGGAGUGGACGCAUCACUGGUGUUCGGGUUGUCAUGCCAAUGGCACUGCCCGGUAGCUAAAUGCGGAAGAGAUAAGUGCUGAAAGCAUCUAAGCACGAAACUUGCCCCGAGAUGAGUUCUCCCUGAGACUUAGAGUCUCCUGAAGGAACGUUGAAGACGACGACGUUGAUAGGCCGGGUGUGUAAGCGCAGCGAUGCGUUGAGCUAACCGGUACUAAUGAACCGUGAGGCUUAACCUU
RNAcentral lists this ribosomal RNA (1393 nucleotides) under Salmonella enterica. RNAcentral's name for it is "partial 23S ribosomal RNA". It matches the Rfam family "Bacterial large subunit ribosomal RNA", at positions 1556 to 2925 of the family's 2925-position model. The record is from RNAcentral. Lineage: Bacteria; Pseudomonadati; Pseudomonadota; Gammaproteobacteria; Enterobacterales; Enterobacteriaceae. RNAcentral also lists the same sequence under 2 other names.